AUGGAUGCGGCCCAGUGGCACCAGGGGCUAGGGCUCGUGAAGCCCAUGGAGGAGAUGAUCAUGGCUGGAAACCCAAAUCCUAAUUCUAAUGGGAACCCGAACCCACAGCCGGCGCAGCCGUCUGGGACCGAAGCCCAGAGGGCCCCCGUUCCUGGCCCGCCGGCGGCAGGAGCGGGCGCGGCUGCCGGGACGGGCUCCACCGAGCGGAAGGCGGCGCGGCCGCAGAAGGAGAAGGCAAUCAACUGCCCCAGGUGCAACUCCACCAACACCAAGUUCUGCUACUACAACAACUACAGCCUCCAGCAGCCGCGCUACUUCUGCAAGACGUGCCGCCGCUACUGGACCGAGGGCGGCUCGCUCCGGAACGUGCCCGUCGGCGGCGGCUCACGCAAGAAUAAGAGAUCGUCGUCCUCGGUGGUUUCGUCCGCGGUGGGCGCCGUCCCCACCUCGGCGGCGGUGUCCGGGACGGUCCCCGUCGGCGGGAUGGCGGCCAAGAACCCGAAGCUGAUGCACGAGGGCGCGCACGACCUCAACCUGGCGUUCCCCCACCACCACGGCCGCGUCUUGCACCCGUCGGAGUUCGCGGCGUUCCCUAGCCUGGAGAGCAGCAGCGUCUGCAACCCGGGAGGCGCCAUGGCGGCCAACGGCGCGGGCGGCGGGAGGGGCAUGGGCGCGUUUUCCGCGAUGGAGCUGCUGAGGAGCACCGGCUGCUACGUACCGAUGCCGCAGGUGCAGCUCGGGAUGCCGCCGGAGUACGCAGCCGCGGGAUUCGCGCUUGGCGAGUUCCGCAUGCCGCUGCAGCAUCAGCAACACCACCAUCAGCAGCAGCAACAACAACACCACCAGCAGCAGCAGCAUCAGGUUCACAACAUGCUCGGGUUCUCCCUGGACACGGGAGGAGGUGGCGACGCCGGGGGAUACGGCGCUGGGUUGCAGGGCGCGCAGGAGAGCGCAACGGGAAGGAUGUUGUUCCCGUUCGAGGACUUGAAGCCGGGUGCGAACCCAAAUGGAGGAGGUGCAAGUGGCGGUGAUCAGUUUGAGCACAGCAAAGACCAAGGCGGCGGCGGUGGCCAUGAGACCCUGGGGUUCUGGAAUAACAGCAUGAUCGGGAAUGGCAGCAGCAAUGACGCCGGCGGUGGCGGUGGCGGCGGCGGCGGCAGUUCGUGGUAG
Molecule: ribosomal RNA, 1170 nt
Filed under: Triticum aestivum (bread wheat)
Lineage: Eukaryota; Viridiplantae; Streptophyta; Magnoliopsida; Poales; Poaceae
Description: partial small subunit ribosomal RNA
Source: RNAcentral